This 1320-nucleotide ribosomal RNA is filed under the name Triticum aestivum (bread wheat). Its description in RNAcentral is "partial small subunit ribosomal RNA". Lineage: Eukaryota; Viridiplantae; Streptophyta; Magnoliopsida; Poales; Poaceae. The record is from RNAcentral.
AUGGGCUCAGAUGCGGACAUGGAAGACUACGGUUUCGAGUAUUCGGACGACGAGCCGGAGGAGCAAGACGUCGACAUCGAGAACCAGUACUACAACUCCAAAGGUAUGGUUGAGACAGACCCAGAGGGUGCACUUGCUGGUUUUGAUGCUGUAGUUCGCAUGGAGCCUGAAAAGGCGGAAUGGGGAUUCAAGGCUCUUAAACAAACUGUGAAGCUUUAUUAUAAGCUGGGGAAGUACAAAGAAAUGAUGGAUGCUUACAGAGAGAUGUUGACAUACAUAAAAUCUGCUGUGACACGUAACUACAGUGAGAAAUGUAUAAACAACAUAAUGGAUUUUGUUUCUGGAUCUGCUAGUCAGCACUUCAAUCUUCUGCAAGAGUUCUACCAGACAACACUUAAAGCUCUUGAAGAGGCAAAAAAUGAGAGAUUAUGGUUUAAGACAAAUCUGAAGCUUUGCAAAAUCUGGUUUGACAUGGGGGAGUAUGGUCGCAUGAGCAAGAUACUGAAGGAGCUGCAUAAGUCUUGCCAAAAGGAAGAUGGUUCUGAUGACCAGAAGAAAGGCACACAACUUCUAGAAGUCUAUGCUAUUGAGAUUCAAAUGUACACUGAAACAAAAAACAACAAAAAGUUGAAGGAAUUGUACCAGAGGGCUCUUUCUAUUAAAUCAGCAAUACCUCAUCCAAGAAUUAUGGGUAUAAUUCGUGAAUGUGGUGGGAAGAUGCACAUGGCUGAGAGGCAGUGGGCGGACGCAGCGACUGAUUUCUUUGAAGCAUUCAAAAACUACGAUGAAGCUGGCAAUCCACGGAGAAUCCAGUGUCUCAAAUAUCUUGUUCUUGCCAAUAUGUUGAUGGAGUCUGAAGUGAAUCCCUUUGAUGGACAAGAGGCCAAGCCGUACAAAAAUGAUCCUGAAAUCCUCGCAAUGACAAACUUGAUUGCAGCAUACCAGAAGAAUGACAUCAUGGAAUUCGAGAAGAUCCUAAAGAGCAAUAGAAGAACAAUAAUGGAUGAUCCUUUUAUCCGUAAUUACAUUGAGGACUUAUUGAAGAACAUCAGAACUCAAGUGCUGCUCAAGCUCAUUAAGCCAUACACAAGAAUAAGGAUUCCAUUCAUUUCACAGGAGCUAAAUGUCCCAGAAAAGGAUGUUGAGCAGCUCUUGGUGUCAUUGAUUCUGGACAACCGUGUCCAGGGCCACAUAGAUCAGGUGAACAAGCUGCUAGAAUGCGGUGACAGGUCAAAGGGAAUGCGGAAAUAUCAAGCCAUCGAUAAGUGGAAUACUCAGCUCAAAUCCAUUUACCAGACGGUGUCCAACAGAGUUGGGUGA